CCUACGGGUGGCAGCAGUGAGGAAUAUUGGUCAAUGGACGAGAGUCUGAACCAGCCAAGUAGCGUGAAGGAUGACUGCCCUAUGGGUUGUAAACUUCUUUUAUAAAGGAAUAAAACGAGGCACGUGUGCCUUUUUGCAUGUACUUUAUGAAUAAGGAUCGGCUAACUCCGUGCCAGCCACCGCGGUAAUACGGAGGAUCCGAGCGUUAUCCGGAUUUAUUGGGUUUAAAGGGAGCGUAGAUGGGUUGUUCAGUCAGUUGUGAAAGUUUGCGGCUCAACCGUAAAAUUGCAAUUGAUACUGGCAGUCUUGAGUACAGUUGAGGUAGGCGGAAUUCGUGGUGUAGCGGUGAAAUGCUUAGAUAUCACGAAGAACCCCGAUUGCGAAGGCAGCUUACUAAACUGUGACUGACAUUGAUGCUCGAAAGUGUGGGUAUCAAACAGGAUUAGAUACCCCGGUAGUC
RNAcentral lists this ribosomal RNA (460 nucleotides) under uncultured bacterium. RNAcentral's name for it is "partial 16S ribosomal RNA". It matches the Rfam family "Bacterial small subunit ribosomal RNA", at positions 338 to 795 of the family's 1533-position model. The record is from RNAcentral.